RNAcentral lists this ribosomal RNA (594 nucleotides) under uncultured Bacteroidota bacterium. RNAcentral's name for it is "bacterial SSU rRNA". It matches the Rfam family "Bacterial small subunit ribosomal RNA", at positions 122 to 715 of the family's 1533-position model. Lineage: Bacteria; Pseudomonadati; Bacteroidota. The record is from RNAcentral.
CAACCUGUCGUCUACUCUUGGACAGCCUUCUGAAAGGAAGAUUAAUACAAGAUGGCAUCAUGAGUCCGCAUGUUCACAUGAUUAAAGGUAUUCCGGUAGACGAUGAGGAUGCGUUCCAUUAGAUAGUAGGCGGGGUAACGGCCCACCUAGUCUUCGAUGGAUAGGGGUUCUGAGAGGAAGGUCCCCCACAUUGGAACUGAGACACGGUCCAAACUCCUACGGGAGGCAGCAGUGAGGAAUAUUGGUCAAUGGGCGAGAGCCUGAACCAGCCAAGUAGCGUGAAGGAUGACUGCCCUAUGGGUUGUAAACUUCUUUAUAAAGGAAUAAAGUCGGGUAUGGAUACCCGUUUGCAUGUACUUUAUGAAUAAGGAUCGGCUAACUCCGUGCCAGCAGCCGCGGUAAUACGGAGGAUCCGAGCGUUAUCCGGAUUUAUUGGGUUUAAAGGGAGCGUAGAUGGAUGUUUAAGUCAGUUGUGAAAGUUUGCGGCUCAACCGUAAAAUUGCAGUUGAUACUGGAUAUCUUGAGUGCAGUUGAGGCAGGCGGAAUUCGUGGUGUAGCGGUGAAAUGCUUAGAUAUCACGAAGAACUCCGAUUG